This 585-nucleotide ribosomal RNA is filed under the name uncultured Microbacterium sp. RNAcentral's name for it is "bacterial SSU rRNA". It matches the Rfam family "Bacterial small subunit ribosomal RNA", at positions 304 to 873 of the family's 1533-position model. Lineage: Bacteria; Bacillati; Actinomycetota; Actinomycetes; Micrococcales; Microbacteriaceae. The record is from RNAcentral.
UCGCCCGCCGCGCCCCGCGCCCGUCCCGCCGCCCCCGCCCGCCUACGGGAGGCAGCAGUGGGGAAUAUUGCACAAUGGGCGAAAGCCUGAUGCAGCAACGCCGCGUGAGGGAUGACGGCCUUCGGGUUGUAAACCUCUUUUAGCAGGGAAGAAGCGAAAGUGACGGUACCUGCAGAAAAAGCGCCGGCUAACUACGUGCCAGCAGCCGCGGUAAUACGUAGGGCGCAAGCGUUAUCCGGAAUUAUUGGGCGUAAAGAGCUCGUAGGCGGUUUGUCGCGUCUGCUGUGAAAUCCCGAGGCUCAACCUCGGGCCUGCAGUGGGUACGGGCAGACUAGAGUGCGGUAGGGGAGAUUGGAAUUCCUGGUGUAGCGGUGGAAUGCGCAGAUAUCAGGAGGAACACCGAUGGCGAAGGCAGAUCUCUGGGCCGUAACUGACGCUGAGGAGCGAAAGGGUGGGGAGCAAACAGGCUUAGAUACCCUGGUAGUCCACCCCGUAAACGUUGGGAACUAGUUGUGGGGGCCAUUCAUCGUCUUCCCGCGGCGCCGCGCGCCUCACUCCGGCGCACUGCCGCGACUGAAAGACGGG